GACAGAGGGUGCAAACGUUGUUCGGAAUCACUGGGCAUAAAGCGCACGUAGGCGGUCUGGUCAGUCAGGUGUGAAAGCCCCCGGCUCAACCGGGGAAUUGCAUUUGAAACUUCCAGACUCGAGGACGGUAGGGGUGAGUGGAACUCCAGGUGGAGCGGUGAAAUGCGUAGAUAUCUGGAGGAACACCGGUGGCGAAAGCGGCUCACUGGACCGUAUCUGACGCUGAGGUGCGAAAGCUAGGGUAGCAAACGGG
RNAcentral lists this ribosomal RNA (253 nucleotides) under uncultured bacterium. Its description in RNAcentral is "partial 16S ribosomal RNA". It matches the Rfam family "Bacterial small subunit ribosomal RNA", at positions 524 to 776 of the family's 1533-position model. The record is from RNAcentral.